GAAGGUAGAGCUCGGUGGUGGAGUGUGUGCUUAGCAUGCACAAGGUUGUGGGUUUGGUCCCCAGUACCUCCA
Molecule: transfer RNA, 72 nt
Filed under: Camelus bactrianus (Bactrian camel)
Lineage: Eukaryota; Metazoa; Chordata; Mammalia; Artiodactyla; Camelidae
Also listed under: 2 other names
Rfam family: tRNA
About the family: Transfer RNA (tRNA) molecules are approximately 80 nucleotides in length. Their secondary structure includes four short double-helical elements and three loops (D, anti-codon, and T loops). Further hydrogen bonds mediate the characteristic L-shaped molecular structure. tRNAs have two regions of fundamental functional importance: the anti-codon, which is responsible for specific mRNA codon recognition, and the 3' end, to which the tRNAs corresponding amino acid is attached (by aminoacyl-tRNA synthetases). tRNAs cope with the degeneracy of the genetic code in two manners: having more than one tRNA (with a specific anti-codon) for a particular amino acid; and 'wobble' base-pairing, i.e. permitting non-standard base-pairing at the 3rd anti-codon position.
Source: Rfam by way of RNAcentral